GAUUAUGGCUCAGGACGAACGCUGGCGGCGUGCUUAACACAUGCAAGUUGAACGGUAUGACAUGGAAGCUUGCUGAAGUGUCAUAUAGUAGCGGACGGGUGAGUAAUGCAUGAGAAGCUGCCAUUGGGAGGGGGACAACAGUUGGAAACGGCUGCUAAUACCCCGUAUGCCGGAAGGUGAAAGGGAGCGAUCCGCCCGAUGAGGUGCUCAUGUCCUAUCAGCUGGUUGGUGGGGUAACGGCCUACCAAGGCGACGACGGGUAGCCGGCCUGAGAGGGUGAACGGCCACACUGGAACUGAGAUACGGUCUAGACUCCUACGGGAGGCAGCAGUGGGGAAUUAAUUGGGCAAUGGGGGCAACCCUGACCCAGCGACGCCGCGUGGGGGAAGACGGCCUUCGGGUUGUAAACCUCUUUUGUACGGGAAGAAGGAAGUGACGGUACUGUACGAAUAAGUCCCGGCUAACUACGUGCCAGCCGCGGC
Molecule: ribosomal RNA, 482 nt
Filed under: uncultured bacterium
Lineage: Bacteria
Description: bacterial SSU rRNA
Rfam family: Bacterial small subunit ribosomal RNA
Source: RNAcentral